UACGAGGGUGGCAAGCGUUGCUCGGAAUUACUGGGCGUAAAGGGCGCGUAGGCGGCUUGGCAAGUCAGAUGUGAAAUCCCCGAGCUUAACUUGGGAAUUGCAUCUGAAACUGCUUUGCUUGAGUCCUGGAUGGGGUAGUGGAAUUCCCAGUGUAGCAGUGAAAUGCGUAGAUAUUGGGAGGAACACCGGUGGCGAAGGCGGCUACCUGGACAGUGACUGACGCUGAGGCGCGAAAGCUAGGGGAGCGAAC
RNAcentral lists this ribosomal RNA (250 nucleotides) under uncultured bacterium. Its description in RNAcentral is "partial 16S ribosomal RNA". It matches the Rfam family "Bacterial small subunit ribosomal RNA", at positions 524 to 773 of the family's 1533-position model. The record is from RNAcentral.